RNAcentral lists this ribosomal RNA (430 nucleotides) under uncultured Bacillus sp. RNAcentral's name for it is "bacterial SSU rRNA". It matches the Rfam family "Bacterial small subunit ribosomal RNA", at positions 354 to 776 of the family's 1533-position model. Lineage: Bacteria; Bacillati; Bacillota; Bacilli; Caryophanales; Bacillaceae. The record is from RNAcentral.
GUAGGGAAUCUUCCGCAAUGGACGAAAGUCUGACGGAGCAACGCCGCGUGAGUGAUGAAGGCUUUCGGGUCGUAAAACUCUGUUGUUAGGGAAGAACAAGUACGAGAGUAACUGCUCGUACCUUGACGGUACCUAACCAGAAAGCCACGGCUAACUACGUGCCAGCAGCCGCGGUAAUACGUAGGUGGCAAGCGUUAUCCGGAAUUAUUGGGCGUAAAGCGCGCGCAGGCGGUUUCUUAAGUCUGAUGUGAAAGCCCACGGCUCAACCGUGGAGGGUCAUUGGAAACUGGGGAACUUGAGUGCAGAAGAGAAAAGCGGAAUUCCACGUGUAGCGGUGAAAUGCGUAGAGAUGUGGAGGAACACCAGUGGCGAAGGCGGCUUUUUGGUCUGUAACUGACGCUGAGGCGCGAAAGCGUGGGGAGCAAACAGG